AUCGAUGAAGAACGCAGCGAAAUGCGAUAAGUAAUGUGAAUUGCAGAAUUCAGUGAAUCAUCGAAUCUUUGAACGCACAUUGCGCCCUCUGGUAUUCCGGGGGGCAUGCCUGUUCGAGCGUCAUUACAACCCUCAAGCUCUGCUUGGUAUUGGGCGUCACCACUCGUGGUGUGCCUUAAAAUCAGUGGCGGUGCCAUUCGGCUUCAAGCGUAGUAAUUUUUCUCGCUUCUGGAGCUUGGGUGUGUGCUUGCCAGCAACCCCCAAUUUUUUUAAGGUUGACCUCGGAUCAGGUAGGGAUACCCGCUGAACUUAAGCAUAUCAAUAAGCGGAGGAAAAGAAACCAACAGGGAUUGCCUCAGUAACGGCGAGUGAAGCGGCAACAGCUCAAAUUUGAAAUCUGGCCUCACGGUCCGAGUUGUAAUUUGUAGAGGAUGUUUCGAGUGUGGUCCGGUCUAAGUUCCUUGGAACAGGACGUCAUAGAGGGUGAGAAUCCCGUAUGCGACUGGAUACCUAAUCUCAUGUGAAACUCCUUCGACGAGUCGAGUUGUUUGGGAAUGCAGCUCAAAAUGGGUGGUAAAUUUCAUCUAAAGCUAAAUACUGGCCAGAGACCGAUAGCGCACAAGUAGAGUGAUCGAAAGAUGAAAAGCACUUUGGAAAGAGAGUUAAACAGUACGUGAAAUUGUUGAAAGGGAAGCGCUUGCAACCAGACUUGCACGCAGUCGAUCAUCCGAUGUUCUCACCGGUGCACUCGAUUGUGUUCAGGCCAGCAUCGGUUUUGGUGGUGGGAUAAAGGCCUUGGGAAUGUAGCUUCUUUCGGGGAGUGUUAUAGCCCUCGGUGCAAUGCCGCCUACUGGGACCGAGGACCGCGCUUCGGCUAGGAUGCUGGCGUAAUGGUUGUAAGCGACCCGUCUUGAAACACGG
RNAcentral lists this ribosomal RNA (921 nucleotides) under uncultured fungus. RNAcentral describes it as "eukaryotic LSU rRNA". The stretch from base 277 to 921 matches the Rfam family "Eukaryotic large subunit ribosomal RNA", at positions 1 to 664 of the family's 3401-position model. Lineage: Eukaryota; Fungi. The record is from RNAcentral.